This 2399-nucleotide long non-coding RNA is filed under the name Citrus sinensis (sweet orange). RNAcentral's name for it is "long non-coding RNA (CSIN_LNC002398)". The record is from RNAcentral. Lineage: Eukaryota; Viridiplantae; Streptophyta; Magnoliopsida; Sapindales; Rutaceae.
AGAUUAAUAAACGGGUGUAAAUUGUUUUUACAUUGGCCGUGUUCAUUUAAUGUACAUGCAACGAGCGCACAUGAAAUGAGUUCAUGGGACAAGCACCAGUCUUGGGCUUUUAGUCUUCUUGAUUGGGCUUUCCAAGGCUAGAGGCUCUUAGCAUGUAAGGUUUCGAUUCCAACCGCUCAGGUUCUUGUCAGCUUCAGUGACGAAAUUAGGGUUUGUCAUCGAUCGUAUUCCUAUAAAAUCAAUCCGAUCCCAAACAUGUUUAGAGCGAAUUCGGAUAUUGCUCAAUAUCACAUUAGAUAAUAUUUGUAUAAUCCGAACAAUCGGAUCGGAUUACGCUUAAAAUAAAAAAAUUAAAAUACAAAAGCAAAUUAGAAAAUCAAAACCUAAGUUCCAUAUACUCAAACUCAACCACGCCUCAUACGAAGUUCACAAGCCCGAAGACCUCAUAUCUAAAAUAUAAAUUAUAGGGGUAUUCGCAAAUCGAAUUUUGCAAAUUAUACAUCAAUCAAUAUAUGAUACAUAAUUUUACGGAUUAUAAAUUUUUAAUCCAAUUCAAUCCACAAAUCAAUGAAAUUCAACACAAAUCCAAUCCAUACACAUGUGGAUCGGAUGCGGAUUUGAUUUAAUCCAUAUCUAAUCUAUCAUUUUGUAGAUUGAUUUGCGGGCUAAAAUUUUUUUAUCAUGUCCUAUCCAUAAAUUAAUUAAAUAAAAAAAUUAAUGUAAAAAUAAUUUUAAUACCAAUCAAAUUUAAAAUUAAAUAUGAUUUAAAUAAAUUACUUUUUUAAAUAAAGCUAGAAAAUACCUUCAAACUUCAAAAUAUAACACACCGAAAUAGAAAAGAAAAAAUCUCAUUUAUUUAGAUCAGUACAUGAAAGUUAAUUUGUUUAGAUUAGCUGUAUAUAUUUUUUAAUUAUUUUUAUUUUAUUUUAUUAUUGGAUGAGAUAUAAUAUGGUAUUAAUGUAACUAUAUUUUAACUUAUUUAUUCAUUAGUAAAUGUCAUCUUUACCAAUUUAAUUUUUUAUUAAAUAAAUAUAUAUUUUUGCAGAUUUGCAAAUUUUUGAGGAUUCAUAGAAAUAAAUCAAUAUCCAAUUCACCGAUUGUAGAUUUUUAAAUUUUCAAUCCAAUCUAAUCCAUCAAUUCACUGAUCGAAUUUUUACGGAUUAAAUUUUUACAGAUCAGACAAAUUGAGCGAAUUAAAUUGAAUUCUAACACCCCCUAAUAAAUUAUAUAUGCUUUUCAGUUCAAUAUUCACGAUCGAACAAAGAACUAGUCAACUUGACUUAGAAAAAGUUCACCAACCCAGCCAAAACUACGAGCCACGAACCUAGCCAAUAGCCACGAGCUGAACAACCACGAACCCAGCCGGCAGCCACAGAUACACAUCAACCCACAAACCAGCCAGUAUUGAGCUUUUGGGAAGAAGGAGAGACUAAUUGUUUCAGUUUUCAUGAACACAUAGCUCUAUUAAUUGAUUCUUGAUCUUGGAAGGAGAUAACUUGGAUAAUCUUUUUCCAAAUAUGGCAAUUGAACUCGAAGGAUUGACACUUGGUGGAAAUCAAUGCUUUGUUCUCAUUAUUGCUCUUAUUAUUCUGCUUCUGCACACAGUUUGGCUUGACAAUCUUAGCCUUCUUUGGCUAUUGGCAACCAUAUCAACUUUGUCCCCAAAUUCAACUGAUUUUUGUUAUAUGAAUUUAAUUUGAUCCGAUCCUAACCCAAAUUAAUUCAAAAUAUUCAUUUGAUCCAAACUUAACCGGAUUAGAUUUGAUUGGAUUUAAAGUUCGGAUUAUAUUCAGAUAAUCUUUGUUUCACCCCGAACAAUUCAAAGUCAGAUUGGAUGGAUCUAAAUUUGAGGUUGCCACCCUAAAUGAAAUUGUGAGGAAACAUUGAGCAUGACUCUUUAGUCUUAAGUCCUGAUUAAGAUUGAUGUGCAAUAUUUUUUAAGAUAUAGCCGCUGUAGAAAAAAAUUAUAACUAUCAAAUAAAAGUUAAUAGUAUGUAGUAAAUAUAAAUUUUAAAUAAUAAUUUUGACAAAAUUAUUAAAGAUAUUGUUGAUGCUGAAAUCUGGUCACCCUCGGCCUGACCAGAUUGUAUCACCAACGAUUGUAUUGACAAUUACAAAGAGGCUGCACUCCACUAACCUUAGCAAUUGCUCGAGCUCCUGGGACUCAAAUCAUUCUUCCUCUUCUUUCCAAACCUGCGUUCACUGAAACCAAUCAGAGACACCAGUGAUUUUUCCGGCAUAAACCCUCCGAUACUUAAGUCAGUAUACGGAGUUUACAGAAAAAUUGUAUAAUUUAUGGUUGCGCACACUCACUGCGAUGUUCUUAAAGUAAAAUUUGUUUAAGGUUGUUCUGUAGUAAUGCCUUAUAUCAAUUCGGCAGAGUUUCCCCCCUCUCUCUU